RNAcentral lists this ribosomal RNA (1342 nucleotides) under uncultured bacterium. RNAcentral's name for it is "16S ribosomal RNA". It matches the Rfam family "Bacterial small subunit ribosomal RNA", at positions 28 to 1378 of the family's 1533-position model. The record is from RNAcentral.
GACGAACGCUGGCGGCGUGCUUAACACAUGCAAGUCGAACGGAAAGGCCCUGCUUUUGUGGGGUGCUCGAGUGGCGAACGGGUGAGUAACACGUGAGUAACCUGCCCUUGACUUUGGGAUAACUUCAGGAAACUGGGGCUAAUACCGGAUAGGAGCUCCUGCUGCAUGGUGGGGGUUGGAAAGUUUCGGCGGUUGGGGAUGGACUCGCGGCUUUCAGCUUGUUGGUGGGGUAGUGGCUUACCAAGGCUUUGACGGGUAGCCGGCCUGAGAGGGUGACCGGCCACAUUGGGACUGAGAUACGGCCCAGACUCCUACGGGAGGCAGCAGUGGGGAAUAUUGCACAAUGGGCGGAAGCCUGAUGCAGCAACGCCGCGUGCGGGAUGACGGCCUUCGGGUUGUAAACCGCUUUCGCCUGUGACGAAGCGUGAGUGACGGUAAUGGGUAAAGAAGCACCGGCUAACUACGUGCCAGCAGCCGCGGUGAUACGUAGGGUGCGAGCGUUGUCCGGAUUUAUUGGGCGUAAAGGGCUCGUAGGUGGUUGAUCGCGUCGGAAGUGUAAUCUUGGGGCUUAACCCUGAGCGUGCUUUCGAUACGGGUUGACUUGAGGAAGGUAGGGGAGAAUGGAAUUCCCGGUGGAGCGGUGGAAUGCGCAGAUAUCAGGAGGAACACCAGUGGCGAAGGCGGUUCUCUGGGCCUUUCCUGACGCUGAGGAGCGAAAGCGUGGGGAGCGAACAGGCUUAGAUACCCUGGUAGUCCACGCUGUAAACGGUGGGUACUAGGUGUGGGGUCCAUUCCACGGGUUCCGUGCCGUAGCUAACGCUUUAAGUACCCCGCCUGGGGAGUACGGCCGCAAGGCUAAAACUCAAAGGAAUUGACGGGGCCCCGCACAAGCGGCGGAGCAUGCGGAUUAAUUCGAUGCAACGCGUAGAACCUUACCUGGGUUUGACAUGGAUCGGGAGUGCUCAGAGAUGGGUGUGCCUCUUUUGGGGUCGGUUCACAGGUGGUGCAUGGCUGUCGUCAGCUCGUGUCGUGAGAUGUUGGGUUAAGUCCCGCAACGAGCGCAACCCUUGUUCACUGUUGCCAGCACGUUAUGGUGGGGACUCAGUGGAGACCGCCGGGGUCAACUCGGAGGAAGGUGGGGAUGACGUCAAGUCAUCAUGCCCCUUAUGUCCAGGGCUUCACGCAUGCUACAAUGGCUGGUACAGAGGGUGGCGAGCCUGUGAGGGUGAGCGAAUCUCGGAAAGCCGGUCUCAGUUCGGACUGGGGUCUGCAACUCGACCUCAUGAAGUCGGAGUCGCUAGUAAUCGCAGAUCAGCAACGCUGCGGUGAAUACGUUCCCGGG